CUAUUGUGUAUGUGGGGUGCCACCACAGCAUGGCUUGAUGAGUGGUGUAGGUCCAUGCCUGGGAUCCAAACCUGUGAACCCGGGCCACCAAAGCAAAGUGUGCUGAACUUGACCACUACGCCACUGCGCCAGCCCCAAAUUCACCUUGUAAAAACGUACUCAAAAGAAAACGUUUUACUAUAUUCACAAGGUUGUACAAAUCAGUACCACUAUCUAAUUGCAAAACAUUUUAUCACCUUAGUAAGAAACCCUGUCUUUGUUAGCUGUCACUUCCUAUCCCUCAUCCUCCCAUACUCUGGAGACCACUAACCCGUGUUCUGUCUCCAUGGAUUUGCUGACUCUUGAAAUUCAGUCUACAUAGAACCAUGCAAUAUGUGUCCUUUUAUGUCUAGCUCCUCUCACUUAGCAUGAGGUUUUCAAAGUUCUUCCAUGUGGUAGAUAAGCACAUUAUUCUUUUACUUUAUUUUGGAAAGUUUACAUGGCAUUACAUGUGCCAUUUUAACCACUUUUCAGUGUACAGUUCUGUGACAGUAAGUACAUUCACAUUGUUGUGCGACCAUCAGCACCAUCCACUUCCAGGACUUACUCAUCUUCGACUGAAACUCUGUGUCAUUAAACACUAACUCCCCAUUCCCCUCUCCUCCCAGCCCUGGCAACCAUGUUAUCCUUUCUGUCUCUGUGAAUUUGACUUUUCUAGGACCCUGAUAGUAGAGCAAUCGUGCAAAAUUUAUACUUUCAUGACGAGCUCACUUUACUUAGCACAGUGUCUUCAAGUUCAUCCACGUGCAUUCGGUAUCAAAAUAGCCUUAUUUUUCUGGCUGCGUAAUAUUCCCUUAUAUCCAUAAAUGUCAUUUUCUUCAUCCAUCUGUUGCUGGACAUUUGGGUUGCUCCCACUUUUUGGCUGUGACAAAUGAGGACAUUUUUGUACUAGUUUUUUUGUGAAUGCAUAUUUCCAUUCUCUUGGGUAUAUACCUAAGGGCAGAAGUUCUGGGUCACAUGGUAACUCCUACGUUACCUUUUUUAUUCUGAUGAUGAUGGUUGCUGAGUGAGACUGAUGGGAUAAGAUAAUUGAGCAGCUUUCUGGAGGACGUGACUAACAGGGUGGGAAAGGGUUCCAUACAGAAAACUUGCAAAAGGAUGUAGCCCCGAGACCAGCAACAAUACAUGUUACCUAUACUCAGGGACUUGACCAUCUGUCUAGACGGUCAUCCAACAAUGAGCAUGCCUAUAAACCUGAGAGGAGAUUGUGUCACUGGUAACUGAAGGAAACAAAAACCAUUUAGUAAAACAACUCAAACUUAGUACAUUCCUCCAAGACCUACUAAACUCUGUUUACAAGAAUGUACUUUCCACAUUUUAGAAAACAGCUUCCACUUAAUACACAACAAAUGUUCACAUGCAUAGAUAUUUUAAGAAAUGGCCAUUGAAUCAGCAAGUUAAGGUAAACUGAAAUAAACAAAACCCCCAUCAGGCGCAAAAGAUAAGCACUGUCAAUAUGUGAAUAUACAACGUUCUAGACCUUUUUCUCUCUAUUGAAGUCUGAUGAUUUUUCAGUCGUUUGAUAUUGAGAUACACAUAUGUUCUUCAAAUGGUAUCAUAUUGUACCUACACUUUUAUAACCUGAUUUUUCUACUGACAGUAUUUCUGGAAUGUUUUCCGUGUUCACGAUAUUUUUCCUGACUUCACGUUUAUUACAUGAAUAUGUCAUAAUGUGUUUAAUCACAGUCAGUUUCUCUGGAAUUGGGAUAUUGAAUACUUCCUGACCAGUUCUAUGUCUUUUCUAACCUGUUCAACCUCACCUGACCCAAAGGCCAUGAGGUAAGGUGUGGUUGGAUGGUGUGGCUCCUUUUCAGUUCUGGAAGAUGUGAAUGGAUGGAGGAGGACCUGUUCAGGGCAGGGCUGAGCAGCCUAGUCUCAGGUGCAGAGCAGCUUCCCCAAAGUGGAGGACAGGCCAGAAAAAUGUCUGCUGAAGUAUUUGGGUUUCCUUGGGAUUAGGGGAAGAUUUUGGGUUUAUCUACAAUCCUUCUAAUCUUUUCAUAUGUUGUGUUUGUACAGUUAGAGGUAUUAUGCAAAAUGGAAUGGAAGAGCCAAAUGUUACUUCCUUUCAUGGUAACCCUAAAUUAUGCUUGCUCUCAUGGUCUCUUUUUCCUUUCCCAGCUCUGGAUUCUCUUUGUUCUUUCCCAGUAGAGGAAUCCCAAGGAGGACUGAUCAGUUUUGGCAGGUGCAGAACUAUGGUGAGCAGAUACCCUAAACCUCAGGUCUCUGGGGCCUUGGUGGAGGAAAACAAAGAAGAAAUGUGAAGCCAUUGUGGCCUUUUCAGUAGGUCUCAAACCUGCAUCUUAGGUGGAAGUUGGGUAAGGAUUUGGUGGGGUAAACCCAUGGGAAGAAUCAGCAUGAACUGACUUUAAGCUUGAAAAUCUGAGCAUUUGGGAUAUCUUAAUGAGAACAAUACUAAUAGAGGCACAAUUUCCUUCUCAGACUCUGGGGACCCGGCACACACUGAGGCGUGGAGUAGGGUCAUACCCACGGCACUGUUUCUUCUGGAGAGCAGCACCCACCUGCCCACUCCAUGUGGGAACCAGUCCAUUCAGAAAAAGGACCACGUUUCCAAGCCCUCUUAGAGUCUCUUACAUCCAUGAUGAGGCUUCUUUUCGUAAUAAUAAGAAGGUUGGGCAGUUUUUCUUCAUCUUUUUGGUAACUUUUAAGUCACCACGUGCUGAGAUUGCUACUGCUGAAUCAAAAAACUAGGAAAAUGCUCCCCAAAUUUAGAAAUCUACCCCUCAAUCUUGCACCUAAUAGAAUGUAGUAGAGUUUGGCUGGAAGGAAAUUCCUGGGAUAGGACCUCAAGUUUUCCUAGGAAUUCGUGUGGGACAGCUUUGCCUGUCUUUGCACAGGUCUUCACUGGGUCACCCUGCAGAUCUGCUCACACAGGCUCACAGCUCUGAUGCGCAGCCCCAUGACACGUCAAGGCCUGCAUGCAUGUGGCCUCCACAGCUGCGCCACAGGGUGGGCAGGAGGGCAGCCAAAGGCCUCUCUGCAUGUGCACAGCGCCAGGUGUGGGUGGGGGCAGGGAGGACCCCCACUGCUGAACCUGAGCCUGCCUGCCACAUCUGCACGGAGCGCCCUUGAGUGACAGGUGUACACGGAUGCCACAUCGCUGCCAAUAUAUUAUGAGACCAUGGUAACAAUCGCGCAUCUCCAGGGAGCAUGCUGCUUCGUUCUUCACUUUCAGACAUGAAAGAAAUCAUUUCAGGUGCCAGAAAAGGAUCUCUGAUAAAAGAAAACAUUUCAGCUUUCAUCGCACUUGAGUUUGCCCCAAAGCAAUGGCUUUGAUAGGAUUUUUUUUCCAGUCUCUUUCUUUAUGUUUACAGUUAAUCCAUGAUUAUCUACAGUCUUCUGGCCUAUAGGGUUCUAGUAGAAAAGAAUCGGUUUCUUUCUUUAAAAGAACAUUCUUUUUAAAAACUUAUUUGAAUGUUAUGUAUAGUAACAUUUACAUAGUGCUUGACCGUUUGCAAACAACUUUCACACACAGAACCUGGUUUUAGUUCACUUAAUCCUCACAAGAAACAUGCGAGGUAAGAAUUACAAGAUUAUCUCUGUUCGGUAAUGAAUAAUAUUAUGUUUCAUUCAAAGGGAUCGAAAAACGUGGAAUUACCCCCUGAAAAUUUCUUGACAUCCUUUUGAUGAAAUUCUCCCGCCAUCAACCCAUCAAUGGAAAACUGUGAAGAAACAGUGGAAUUGUUCGAAACAAGCCAGACAUCUGAGGCUGUUUCCUGCUUUUCCUAAAGUGCUGUCCUCAGUUACACGUGACAAGGAUGGUGGUAGGAAGUGGAACUCAGGAGCUCUGCUCUGUUUUCCUCCUCAAAGUCUUAUUAAUUCAUUGGAAUUUGCUUUGUGUUUAAGAACCCAUGACAAAUAGAGAGCAAAUUUACCCAAAUGAAGCGUCAGCUUUGUGUCCCAAUUCCUCAUUCUACAGGGUUUGAAAUUUGGAGUGUAGCAGUGCUAAAUCUACGUAUUCCUAUUUCUAUAUAUAGAUUGCUGCAGUAUAUCCUCAUUAGAUCCUUGAUCUUAGUUAAUUACAAUUAAAAGCCUCAAACUGUGGUAGCAAGAAAGAAACCCACAGUCCUCGCCCAGGAUUGCCUUGGAUUCAGGAGCCUUUGGGAUCAGGAACACAAUGCUCCCUGGCUUCCCCGGAGCACGGCAGUGGGUGGCUCCCAGUCCCAUCUGUUUCAUGAUCUCAAGGCCUGUGAUAACACCAACCCCGGCUCCAGUCAGUACCCAUUGCGAUCACAGGAGCCCACGGGCCAGGAGAGGAGGGAGGACGCAUUCCACUGCAUCCACUGUGGACGGACUGCAAGGCCUUCCCCGGAAGAGGCAACUAGAAGUGAAGUUAAUUCAGAGACAAGUUAACCAGGUGCUCAGAAAACUGUCAUGACUGCUUCUGAACAGUGGAAAGGAGAGAAGGGAAGUGCUUAUAUUUGGGAAAAUCAGGAUAAAGUCCCACAUUAACCGAUCCCUAACCUCUUUGUCUCUGACCUUUAUUAUUCUCAACUGUAAAAUGAGCGAUGUAACCAGUUCAAAAUUGUAUGAUCUUUACUUCCACUACUGUUGGAUCGAUGGUGAGUUGGGGAGAAGUGUCUGAGGAGUGUGGGCAGCUCUGACUCCGGUCCCUCCUUCCUCGCUCCCUGCGUUCAGUCAUUCACUCAUAAACACGGAGCUCUGCUCUCCACAGGCAUUAGAAGCUGAGUGCUCAAAUAUGACAAGGUGUCUGGGUGCUCCUCGCAAGGCAUAUAAUGAUUCAUUUAAUUAAGUGACCCCAGAGGAAUUAAUUUUCCUCUGAAGUUCAGCGGGCUCUUGAGAGGAUGUUUUAUUAUCCCCACUCCCCAUGGCAUGGGCCCAGCCCCUUCACUGCAGGCCAGGCUUGCAAAGCAGAGCAGUUGAGCUUUGAAGGGCAGGAAGGAUGAUGUUCCGGGAGGAGUUAGGACACAUGGCUUGACCCUCUGUUCCCCCCAGGACCAAGCCCUGGUGGGGUCAGGCGGGAGGCACUGUUCCUGCUCGUGAGGAAGCCCCACAGGAUGACAGGGAGCUCCUCUGUUGUGCAGCAUUUUGUCAAGCACGUUUUCAUCCACUUAUCCCAAGAUCAAUUCCAAUUAAACCUGACUGUUCAACACUUCCAGCGGUUCUAAUGAGCAGGUAGAGCCGGGGUGCUGACACCACGUGGAAAACAAGAAGAGGCCAGUGUUGGGGACGAGGUUGGACUCCCAUCAGGAGGUGACCCAGCAGUUCAGCUCCCAGAGCUGUCCUCUCGCUGGAGUCCAGAGGACGGGCCCACGCUUCCUGUCCCGGGUCAUCCUGACCUUCUCCUUCCUGGGUCUCUCUCCAGCUUAUCAAGGCGAGAACACCGGUGUCCUAUUCCCUUCGUGCCUCUCUGCCUCACCUGUGACCCUCACUGCCCUUCCUCCUCCCAUCCACCUGCCUUCCUGUAUCUCCCUGGGGCUCCCACGAUGAUCUUUUCUUCUAAUUUUCAGCAGAUUUUCAUUUAACCUUAUAAUUAUUCGGGGGGGAGAAGGACUUAGGAAAUUAAAAAUAACACAAUUAACAAUGUUUAAAAAUCUCUUUUUCCUGGAAACUAUUGUGGAACGGAGUCGGUACGAGAUGGUGAUGAAGAGCGGUCUGCUUAGGAACAACCAGCUCCAGUACCUCCUGUGUGACCCUGGACAAGAGCGAUCUCUCUGUGUCUCAGUUUCUCCAUUUGCCAAUCGGGCAACAGUAGUGCCUGCCUUGGAGGGCCAAUGGACUCGGAACCAGGCACCCGCGGGCACUGACGCCAGGCUAGGGGUGUGGGAGUGCUUGGGAGACCUGCGCUCCGGGCACUUAGAGUGUUGGCUCUUCUGCUUGCGUCAUGCUCAGGGAAAAUUGAUCAGUCAUUGAUACCACCUGAGGGGAAAGCACCAGCAGGAUGGACCAAGCUGAGGCCAAGACUAGGCCAUGAGCCUGCCCGUGAUCUACAGCUAGAGUCCCCAUCGAUAGAUGCCAGACACUGCAUUGAGCAGAUUGAGUGUAUUGAUGUAAAAGAAUUAUAGUCUUAUAUAUAUAUAUAUAUACAGGAGAAAUAUUCAUAAUUCCUAAAUGAGAUACCCUUCAUAUUCUCAGAUUUUUGCGACUUUACAUCAUUCUCCUCCCGGGUUGAUUAAUAUGACCAAAAUCCAGUUUGCACACCCUGCUGCUUUUAUUUAAUUAAAAGGAAAAGAAAGCA
Equus caballus (horse) is the source of this 6256-nucleotide non-coding RNA. The record is from RefSeq and is a predicted model, not a curated record. NCBI's taxonomy places the organism in Eukaryota, Metazoa, Chordata, Mammalia, Perissodactyla, Equidae.